AUUUGUCAUUUUGGGUGCUUGUGACUUGUACACAGCACCGUGCGUGUUGUUUUCUUUGUUGACUGCACCUGGAGCGACACAGAUGACCUUGGAGUUCGGCGACAUCAUGGUGUACCUUGUGGAGAAUCUGGACAGCUAAUUUCUUCAGAGCAGGCUGGGUGAAUGAUGCAAAAAUAUGGAACCUUCACUCCAAGAAGCCCCAUGUUAUCACCGCACGUGUCAGAGAUAAAUCUUUCACUGAGAAUGACCUCUCAGUCACAAACCUGUGUGGGAUGGUGUUUCUGAGUGCUGACCAUCACUACAAACAACGCUGUUGUGCAGUAGAGAAACGUGAGAUAUGCACCAACCUGAGGGAGCUCCGACCCAAGCCAAUCCCAGCACCCCAUCAUCAAAGUCCCUGUCUGUGAAGACAUAGGCCAGGCAGUAGCCAUC
Thalassophryne amazonica is the source of this 432-nucleotide long non-coding RNA. RefSeq lists it as uncharacterized. Lineage: Eukaryota; Metazoa; Chordata; Actinopteri; Batrachoidiformes; Batrachoididae. The transcript is spliced from 3 exons. The record is from RefSeq and is a predicted model, not a curated record.